RNAcentral lists this ribosomal RNA (1062 nucleotides) under Akanthomyces dipterigenus. RNAcentral describes it as "SSU rRNA". It matches the Rfam family "Eukaryotic small subunit ribosomal RNA", at positions 53 to 1130 of the family's 1831-position model. Lineage: Eukaryota; Fungi; Ascomycota; Sordariomycetes; Hypocreales; Cordycipitaceae. The record is from RNAcentral.
GCAUGUCUAGUAUAGCAUUAUACAGCGAAACUGCGAAUGGCUCAUUAUAUAAGUUAUCGUUUAUUUGAUAGUACCUUACUACUUGGAUAACCGUGGUAAUUCUAGAGCUAAUACAUGCUAAAAAUCCCGACUCCGGAAGGGAUGUAUUUAUUAGAUUAAAAACCAAUGCCCUCUGGGCUCCUUGGUGAUUCAUAAUAACUUUUCGAAUCGCAUGGCCUUGCGCCGGCGAUGGUUCAUUCAAAUUUCUUCCCUAUCAACUUUCGAUGUUUGGGUAUUGGCCAAACAUGGUCGCAACGGGUAACGGAGGGUUAGGGCUCGACCCCGGAGAAGGAGCCUGAGAAACGGCUACUACAUCCAAGGAAGGCAGCAGGCGCGCAAAUUACCCAAUCCCGAUUCGGGGAGGUAGUGACAAUAAAUACUGAUACAGGGCUCUUUUGGGUCUUGUAAUUGGAAUGAGUACAAUUUAAAUCCCUUAACGAGGAACAAUUGGAGGGCAAGUCUGGUGCCAGCAGCCGCGGUAAUUCCAGCUCCAAUAGCGUAUAUUAAAGUUGUUGUGGUUAAAAAGCUCGUAGUUGAACCUUGGGCCUGGCUGGCCGGUCCGCCUCACCGCGUGCACUGGUCCGGCCGGGCCUUUCCCUCUGUGGAACCCCAUGCCCUUCACUGGGUGUGGCGGGGAAACAGGACUUUUACUUUGAAAAAAUUAGAGUGCUCCAGGCAGGCCUAUGCUCGAAUACAUUAGCAUGGAAUAAUGAAAUAGGACGUGUGGUUCUAUUUUGUUGGUUUCUAGGACCGCCGUAAUGAUUAAUAGGGACAGUCGGGGGCAUCAGUAUUCAAUUGUCAGAGGUGAAAUUCUUGGAUUUAUUGAAGACUAACUACUGCGAAAGCAUUUGCCAAGGAUGUUUUCAUUAAUCAGGAACGAAAGUUAGGGGAUCGAAGACGAUCAGAUACCGUCGUAGUCUUAACCAUAAACUAUGCCGACUAGGGAUCGGACGAUGUUAUUUUUUGACGCGUUCGGCACCUUACGAGAAAUCAAAGUGCUUGGGCUCCAGGGGGAAUAUGGUC